Molecule: ribosomal RNA, 471 nt
Filed under: uncultured organism
Description: partial 16S ribosomal RNA
Rfam family: Bacterial small subunit ribosomal RNA
Source: RNAcentral
CACUCCUACGGGAGGCAGCAGUGGGGAAUAUUGCACAAUGGGCGCAAGCCUGAUGCAGCCAUGCCGCGUGUAUGAAGAAGGCCUUCGGGUUGUAAAGUACUUUCAGCGGGGAGGAAGGCGAUAAGGUUAAUAACCUUGUCGAUUGACGUUACCCGCAGAAGAAGCACCGGCUAACUCCGUGCCAGCAGCCGCGGUAAUACGGAGGGUGCAAGCGUUAAUCGGAAUUACUGGGCGUAAAGCGCACGCAGGCGGUCUGUCAAGUCGGAUGUGAAAUCCCCGGGCUCAACCUGGGAACUGCAUUCGAAACUGGCAGGCUAGAGUCUUGUAGAGGGGGGUAGAAUUCCAGGUGUAGCGGUGAAAUGCGUAGAGAUCUGGAGGAAUACCGGUGGCGAAGGCGGCCCCCUGGACAAAGACUGACGCUCAGGUGCGAAAGCGUGGGGAGCAAACAGGAUUAGAAACCCCGGUAGUCCC